Molecule: long non-coding RNA, 1351 nt
Organism: Asterias rubens (European starfish)
Lineage: Eukaryota; Metazoa; Echinodermata; Asteroidea; Forcipulatida; Asteriidae
Exons: 3
Source: RefSeq, a predicted model, not a curated record
CCUUGAGAAGAUGACACUAUGAGAUGUGCAGGAAGAUGUGUGGGGAGGCAGCCCACCUGCAAGGCCUCCCACCUGCAAGGCCUCCCCUGAAAUGGCUGCUGAAGAGACACGAGUACAUAAAGUGCUAUAGAAGCUUUACUGCAGUGAACUAUUUGCCAUCAUCCUGCAAUACACACAUGGUCUAAAAGAGACAUGGCAAGACAAGCACAUUUAAGAAAAUGAGAUGAUCGAAAACCUCUUCAGUUGUUUGUGUUCUGCUCAGAUGUUGCCUCAGUACUUUGAUAACAUCUUCUCCACAUUGGGAGAGAUUGAAAGAGAACAGGUGAUGAGGAGGGUGACUCCAGGAAUGCGGCCCCAUUACAAUGUGAGCAUGAGGCGACCACGGACACAUGUUUAUGCCAGACUGCAACACUGUACUAAUGAAACUCAAUGCAUGCAUUAAGGACAUUCACCAAAGAGCCACUGCAAACAAGAUGAUGCUAAAUGCUGCAAAGCAUUGGUUCUUCAUUUUACAUCAAGAUUUUCACAACAGCCACUUCCAGUCAUUUCCAUCAUGGUUGGUGAUGUGAAACCACUCAACGAAAGCCAGAAAUCUCUGUGCAGUCAUGGAUGAACAUCUACAUGUAUCACUAAAGGCCCAUGUCACCACCCUAUAUGCCGCUCUUCAAUGACUGUCAUCCAAAGAUGUUUUAAAUUUAGAAAAUAAUGAUCCGCACAAAUACACCUGGAAAUUGUUUGGUUUUCCUUGGCCGUCUUGAACUAACAUGGUCUGCCAUUUUGUUGAAGCAGUAGUUUGACUCCCCAAAAUCGCAGACCAUCAUAUUUCACAAAGUAUUUGGAAAACCUCACAGUUUUAAAGUACAUUAGUUUAAUUAUCCACUACUUUUAAAUGCUAUUCUGUCCAACCUGGUUCAUGUCAUAAAAACUCUUUCAUAGCCCAAAACGCCCAAAACCAAUAUGUGCAGUCUCUAAAAAAUGUUGAUGAAAUAAAUGAAACCAUUGAUUCGGAUUGCAAUUAUUGAAGCUUGAGACUCGAAAACAACAACAGGGUUUUGACAAGUACAAGUACUGUGAGCCUGACAAUUUAAUGUUGCCUAAUGUCUAAAGGGACACAUCGCUUUUGGGUUGGGUGUUUUGAGCUUUAGAAAGUGCUUGCUAUGAAAUGGAUGACGUUGGAAAUAUGUUUUAAAAUUAGAAAAUAAUUAUCCACAAAAAUAUACCUGGAAAUUGUUUGUUUUUUCUUGUUACCCUCCUGAACUGUAACACAACCUGCCAUUUUUGUUGAAGCAAAUUCAUGACUCCUCAAAAUGGCAGACUAUUUUAGUUCACAGUGGAAUUUUUGACUCCACAA